Molecule: long non-coding RNA, 470 nt
Filed under: Equus caballus (horse)
Lineage: Eukaryota; Metazoa; Chordata; Mammalia; Perissodactyla; Equidae
Description: lncRNA (ENSECAG00000051711.1)
Source: RNAcentral
GUCUGCCUUAAAUCUCAGCUAACGAGAUCUCUUAUAUGUAACUAACCUUUCCUUUUCUUUGAAUGUUCUUUAGGACGGACAAACCCCACGAAGACAUACUGCUGGCUAAAAGCACACCAUCAGGCGAUCAUACCACAGGCAGUAACCACUAAGAAAUACCAGAGGUUAAGAGGAAAUUCUGCUUUUCAGACCCAGUAAGUUCUGCCCGGUGUAUCCCCAAGAAAAGAAAUUAACUACAGUUUAGGUUUGGAACUAAAAGAGAUGAGAUUCACAAUGCUUGCCCUGUGUCUAAUAGUUAUAAGAGUCUAUUUAUAGCAGAAGUGUCAUCCUUGGAGCAUAUUGAAGAGGUCUCAGAAUGUGAGCAGUUAGAUGGAAGAUGAUAAUGAAGCAGCCUUGAUGCAACUUGACCAAAAGUAAUGAAAGAGAUGGAGAGGUGGCGAGUCAUCCGUGCAGCAAAACCUAAAGGAGAG